RNAcentral lists this ribosomal RNA (342 nucleotides) under Streptomyces graminilatus. RNAcentral's name for it is "bacterial SSU rRNA". It matches the Rfam family "Bacterial small subunit ribosomal RNA", at positions 579 to 918 of the family's 1533-position model. The record is from RNAcentral. Lineage: Bacteria; Bacillati; Actinomycetota; Actinomycetes; Kitasatosporales; Streptomycetaceae.
UCUGUCGCGUCGGAUGUGAAAGCCCGGGGCUUAACCCCGGGUCUGCAUUCGAUACGGGCAGACUAGAGUGUGGUAGGGGAGAUCGGAAUUCCUGGUGUAGCGGUGAAAUGCGCAGAUAUCAGGAGGAACACCGGUGGCGAAGGCGGAUCUCUGGGCCAUUACUGACGCUGAGGAGCGAAAGCGUGGGGAGCGAACAGGAUUAGAUACCCUGGUAGUCCACGCCGUAAACGGUGGGAACUAGGUGUUGGCGACAUUCCACGUCGUCGGUGCCGCAGCUAACGCAUUAAGUUCCCCGCCUGGGGAGUACGGCCGCAAGGCUAAAACUCAAAGGAAUUGACGGGG